AUUGAACGCUGGCGGCAGGCCUAACACAUGCAAGUCGAGCGGAUGAAGGGAGCUUGCUCCUGGAUUCAGCGGCGGACGGGUGAGUAAUGCAUAGGAAUCUGCCUGGUAGUGGGGGAUAACGUCCGGAAACGGGCGCUAAUACCGCAUACGUCCUGAGGGAGAAAGUGGGGGAUCUUCGGACCUCACGCUAUCAGAUGAGCCUAGGUCGGAUUAGCUAGUUGGUGGGGUAAAGGCCUACCAAGGCGACGAUCCGUAACUGGUCUGAGAGGAUGAUCAGUCACACUGGAACUGAGACACGGUCCAGACUCCUACGGGAGGCAGCAGUGGGGAAUAUUGGACGAUGGGCGAAAGCCUGAUCCAGCCAUGCCGCGUGUGUGAAGAAGGUCUUCGGAUUGUAAAGCACUUUAAGUUGGGAGGAAGGGCAGUAAGUUAAUACCUUGCUGUUUUGACGUUACCAACAGAGUAAGCACCGGCUAACUUCGUG
This 484-nucleotide ribosomal RNA is filed under the name uncultured bacterium. Its description in RNAcentral is "partial 16S ribosomal RNA". It matches the Rfam family "Bacterial small subunit ribosomal RNA", at positions 30 to 507 of the family's 1533-position model. The record is from RNAcentral.